Transfer RNA from Homo sapiens (human), 71 nucleotides. It matches the Rfam family "tRNA". From Rfam's summary of the family: Transfer RNA (tRNA) molecules are approximately 80 nucleotides in length. Their secondary structure includes four short double-helical elements and three loops (D, anti-codon, and T loops). The record is from Rfam. NCBI's taxonomy places the organism in Eukaryota, Metazoa, Chordata, Mammalia, Primates, Hominidae.
GCAGUGGUGGUUCAGUGGUAGGGUUCUCGCCUCACACGCGGGAGACCCGGGUUCAAUUCCCGGUCAAAGCA